This is a long non-coding RNA of Microplitis mediator, 506 nucleotides long. RefSeq lists it as uncharacterized. The record is from RefSeq and is a predicted model, not a curated record. Lineage: Eukaryota; Metazoa; Arthropoda; Insecta; Hymenoptera; Braconidae. The transcript has 3 exons.
CAACACAAAUUUCAUGUCAACCGUUUUUAACACACAAACUGUGUUGAUUUUACACAAUAUUUUUUACUGUGUAUUUAUUGUAGGUACCCGAUAGUUGGAACACGGGGACAUUCACUCAGAAGCUUAAAGGCCGUAUCUCCAGAGAUAUGUUUUCUCGCAAUUUUCUAGGCGAGUAGUUAGAUGAAAAUGCCGAUCGGUUUGAAAAUUUCGAGUAUGAUUUUUUUAUAUUCAUGACGCCCCUGAAAUUACAUACGAAAUACGAAAAGACAAAUCCCAUGACGCGCAAUAGGUUUAGUUGUGAUACUGAAAAUGGUCUCGUUUCCCGUUCAUCAGGAGGAUCCAUGAGGAAAGUCAAGAAUUCUGAGAGUUUUAGUUUAGAAGCUACCAUAACUGUCGCUUCCGUACUUGGAAUUUAUCGAGACAGUCUUGAUGAUUGUGUUUAUAGAUUUAAAUUUUCGUGGCUUACAAUAACAGAACGUGCUUGGGCCACAUGUACUAAAAAAGCC